Molecule: long non-coding RNA, 1512 nt
Filed under: Struthio camelus australis
Lineage: Eukaryota; Metazoa; Chordata; Aves; Struthioniformes; Struthionidae
Description: lncRNA (ENSSCUG00000011052.1)
Source: RNAcentral
AUGAAAAGGCCUAAGGAGGUACCAGAUGCAACUGUUCAGGCUUCAGUGUUGCUGUUCUCCCUGGCUGAGCUCAGAAGAGGCCUGGUGAUCCCGUUUCCCAAGGAAGGAACUGCGGGUGCAGCUUGGCAGGGGAGAUGUCAAGGCCCAUCCCAAACUGCUGAUGGAUCCAAGACCCUUGGCUCUUUCUUUGGUGCGGCUGGUUUGGAGGCAACAUGGUGCAAUUUUGCACUGUGCCACAGGUCAUUUCUGAACAGAUGGACCAAGGCUCGCCACGGAGCAGCGUGUUUAUAACGGAGGAGCCGGGGCUGCCGCGGCAAACGGGGGCUCGUUCCCACGGGCUCUGCGUUGCUGGGCUUGCUAGAAACGGUCUGCAGGAGCGGGGCUGGCGUGAACGCCCCAUCUCUCAGUUCAGGCAGGUGAUUUUGAUCCGCCUUUUGUAUUUCGGUUCAUUCUGCUUGGCUAUGCAAAAGCCCACCUUGCAAAUGCUGUAUGUUUUGCUGGCAUUUAGAUGAAUCCUGUUAAUUUUGAGAGGCCAAACUGACAGCGGCCCGCGACGUUUGUGCUGGCUAAGCGGGCAGAGUGGAAGAGCACUUCUGCGCCGUGACCGAAGGCACAUCUGCUUUCCUUGAAUCCAGGUGCAGAAGUCAGUGCCCAGGAAAGGGAGGGAAGGGUCUUUCACCAAAAUGAUGGGAUCAUCGAGUGGCAAGGUGGGGUUUGCUCCCAUCCCGUGUCAUGCGCGGCGGCUCCGUUUUUCAGGCCGCCAGCUGCCGCUGCCAGGGGUGGCUUGGGAGUGGUUGGAGUAAGCAAAAGUUUGCGAUCAAAACAAAUGAAAAUAGCACAUCCUGUUAUGAUAACUGCCCGGGCGGGAUCAGUUUAUAUCUCGCAGGUAACUCGAGUUAAGCUGCAUCUAAAUGAAUAAUUGCACACCUGUACCAAAGAGACCAGACAACAUUAGCAAGUCCCCUGUGAAGCGGCUUUCCUGUGGGACCGGGAUAAAUGUUUCCUUUUGCCUGGUAAGGGGUGGCCCUGCGUGUUCAGCACAGAAACCCUUUCCGUCCUAGAGUACAAAAAUAGUCCUAGAGUACAAAAAUACAGUAGCAGAAACAAUAUCCAUCAAUCAUCUCUCAUUUAGAGAAGAUCGAGGGCUUGAGAAGAUCGGUUCCAGAGCUGGACAAAGUUUUAGGGCUGUGCCCAGGAGAGGGUGUUUCUCAGGCAGGGUCAUUCCUCUGUUAUUUCUCAGGUGCAUUUGUUCAACGGCAGUACUUAGGCUCACCAGGGAUUAUGUGUUACGAUAGUUUUGAGCCGAUCUCUUUCCUACAUGUCACACCCAGUGGUAGGUCACGUCCUGGUAACGCAACACGCGUGCCCUUUGGGGGCACUUCCCAUCCGCCUUCUCACCGGGCCUCUAUCCGCAGCAGUGGGAAAUGGCUAUCAAGCACGACGAUAACGCCAGCUGGUUUGCGUUUCCUUUUUGACCCCAGCCAGAAGGUUUCUUCUGCAGCCAAGCCUGGC